AUGCUGGAGGUAUCAGAAGUGCGAAUGCUGACAUAAGUAACGAUAAAGCGGGUGAAAAGCCCGCUCGCCGGAAGACCAAGGGUUCCUGUCCAACGUUAAUCGGGGCAGGGUGAGUCGACCCCUAAGGCGAGGCCGAAAGGCGUAGUCGAUGGGAAACAGGUUAAUAUUCCUGUACUUGGUGUUACUGCGAAGGGGGGACGGAGAAGGCUAUGUUGGCCGGGCGACGGUUGUCCCGGUUUAAGCGUGUAGGCUGGUUUUCCAGGCAAAUCCGGAAAAUCAAGGCUGAGGCGUGAUGACGAGGCACUACGGUGCUGAAGCAACAAAUGCCCUGCUUCCAGGAAAAGCCUCUAAGCAUCAGGUAACAUCAAAUCGUACCCCAAACCGACACAGGUGGUCAGGUAGAGAAUACCAAGGCGCUUGAGAGAACUCGGGUGAAGGAACUAGGCAAAAUGGUGCCGUAACUUCGGGAGAAGGCACGCUGAUAUGUAGGUGAAGUCCCUUGCGGAUGGAGCUGAAAUCAGUCGAAGAUACCAGCUGGCUGCAACUGUUUAUUAAAAACACAGCACUGUGCAAACACGAAAGUGGACGUAUACGGUGUGACGCCUGCCCGGUGCCGGAAGGUUAAUUGAUGGGGUCAGCGCAAGCGAAGCUCUUGAUCGAAGCCCCGGUAAACGGCGGCCGUAACUAUAACGGUCCUAAGGUAGCGAAAUUCCUUGUCGGGUAAGUUCCGACCUGCACGAAUGGCGUAAUGAUGGCCAGGCUGUCUCCACCCGAGACUCAGUGAAAUUGAACUCGCUGUGAAGAUGCAGUGUACCCGCGGCAAGACGGAAAGACCCCGUGAACCUUUACUAUAGCUUGACACUGAACAUUGAGCCUUGAUGUGUAGGAUAGGUGGGAGGCUUUGAAGUGUGGACGCCAGUCUGCAUGGAGCCGACCUUGAAAUACCACCCUUUAAUGUUUGAUGUUCUAACGUUGACCCGUAAUCCGGGUUGCGGACAGUGUCUGGUGGGUAGUUUGACUGGGGCGGUCUCCUCCUAAAGAGUAACGGAGGAGCACGAAGGUUGGCUAAUCCUGGUCGGACAUCAGGAGGUUAGUGCAAUGGCAUAAGCCAGCUUGACUGCGAGCGUGACGGCGCGAGCAGGUGCGAAAGCAGGUCAUAGUGAUCCGGUGGUUCUGAAUGGAAGGGCCAUCGCUCAACGGAUAAAAGGUACUCCGGGGAUAACAGGCUGAUACCGCCCAAGAGUUCAUAUCGACGGCGGUGUUUGGCACCUCGAUGUCGGCUCAUCACAUCCUGGGGCUGAAGUAGGUCCCAAGGGUAUGGCUGUUCGCCAUUUAAAGUGGUACGCGAGCUGGGUUUAGAACGUCGUGAGACAGUUCGGUCCCUAUCUGCCGUGGGCGCUGGAGAACUGAGGGGGGCUGCUCCUAGUACGAGAGGACCGGAGUGGACGCAUCACUGGUGUUCGGGUUGUCAUGCCAAUGGCACUGCCCGGUAGCUAAAUGCGGAAGAGAUAAGUGCUGAAAGCAUCUAAGCACGAAACUUGCCCCGAGAUGAGUUCUCCCUGACCCUUUAAGGGUCCUGAAGGAACGUUGAAGACGACGACGUUGAUAGGCCGGGUGUGUAAGCGCAGCGAUGCGUUGAGCUAACCGGUACUAAUGAACCGUGAGGCUUAACCUUACAACGCCGAAG
Molecule: ribosomal RNA, 1687 nt
Filed under: Escherichia coli
Lineage: Bacteria; Pseudomonadati; Pseudomonadota; Gammaproteobacteria; Enterobacterales; Enterobacteriaceae
Description: partial 23S ribosomal RNA
Rfam family: Bacterial large subunit ribosomal RNA
Source: RNAcentral